AACGCUGGCGGCGCGCCUAAUACAUGCAAGUCGAACGGAAACCUUCGGGUUUUAGUGGCGAACGGGUGAGUAACACGUAAGCAACCUGCCUUUAAGACGUGGAUAACAAUUGGAAACAGUUGCUAAGACAGGAUAGGAAAUUAAGAGGCAUCUUUUAAUUUUUAAAAGACCUUUUUCGAAAGGUAUACUUAAAGAGGGGCUUGCGCCACAUUAGUUAGUUGGUAAGGUAAAGGCUUACCAAGACGAUGAUGUGUAGCUGGACUGAGAGGUCGAACAGCCACAUUGGGACUGAGACACGGCCCAAACUCCUACGGGAGGCAGCAGUAAGGAAUUUUUGGCAAUGGAGGAAACUCUGACCGAGCGACGUCGCGUGAACAAUGAAGUACUUCGGUAUGUAAAGUUCUUUUAUUGAAAAAGAAAAAAUAGUGGAAAAACUAUCUUGACAUUAUUCAAUGAAUAAGCCCCGGCUAAUUAUGUGCCAGCAGCCGCGGUAAUACAUAAGGGGCGAGCGUUAUCCGGAAUUAUUGGGCGUAAAGGGUGCGUAGGCGGUUUGAUAAGUCUAUAGUUUAAAUGCAGUGCUUAACGCUGUAGCGCUAUAGAAACUGUCUGACUAGAGUUAGAUAGAGGCAAGCGGAAUUCCAUGUGUAGCGGUAAAAUGCGUAAAUAUAUGGAGGAACACCAGAGGCGUAGGCGGCUUGCUGGGUCUUAACUGACGCUGAGGCACGAAAGCGUGGGGAGCAAACAGGAUUAGAUACCCUGGUAGUCCACGCCGUAAACGAUGAGUACUAAGUGUCGGGUUUCGGCUCGGUACUGAAGUUAACACAUUAAGUACUCCGCCUGAGUAGUACGUACGCAAGUAUGAAACUUAAAGGAAUUGACGGGACCCCGCACAAGCGGUGGAUCAUGUUGUUUAAUUCGAAGAUACACGAAAAACCUUACCAGGUCUUGACAUAAUUUUGCGACAUUAUAGAAAUAUAAUGAAGGUUAUCAGAAUUACAGGUGGUGCAUGGUUGUCGUCAGCUCGUGUCGUGAGAUGUUAGGUUAAGUCCUAAAACGAGCGCAACCCUUGUCGUUAGUUGCGACCACGUAAUGGUGAGCACUUUAGCGAGACUGCCAAUGAAAAAUUGGAGGAAGGUGAGGAUUACGUCAAAUCAUCAUGCCCCUUAUGAUCUGGGCUACAAACGUGAUACAAUGGCUGUUACAAAGAGUAGCUACAACGUGAGUUUUUAGCCAAUCUCAAAAAAACAGUCUCAGUUCGGAUUGAAGUCUGCAACUCGACUUCAUGAAGUUGGAAUCGCUAGUAAUCGCGAAUCAGCAUGCCGCGGUGAAUACGUUCUCGGGGUUUGUACACACCGCCCGUCAAACCACGAAAGUUGAUAAUACCCGAAAGCGGUCGCCUAACUUCGUCAGAAGAGGGAGCCGUCUAAGGUAGGAUCGAUGAUUGGGGUUAAGUCGUAACAAGGUAUCCCUACCGGAAGGUGGGGAUGGAUCA
RNAcentral lists this ribosomal RNA (1492 nucleotides) under Grapevine yellows phytoplasma 'Shiraz'. RNAcentral's name for it is "bacterial SSU rRNA". It matches the Rfam family "Bacterial small subunit ribosomal RNA". Lineage: Bacteria; Bacillati; Mycoplasmatota; Mollicutes; Acholeplasmatales; Acholeplasmataceae. The record is from RNAcentral.